Molecule: long non-coding RNA, 283 nt
Organism: Phycodurus eques (leafy seadragon)
Lineage: Eukaryota; Metazoa; Chordata; Actinopteri; Syngnathiformes; Syngnathidae
Exons: 3
Source: RefSeq, a predicted model, not a curated record
UGAUUCAUUGGAUCCUCUCUUUUUAUUGUGACUUUCGGAGCUUUAGAUGGCCACACUGUUCUCGACGUUCUUUGGAUCCAGCUGGCGCGGGAUCUCCUCGGUGAAAUGGUCCUCUGGAUAGUGUCCGAGGGGGACCUGUUGACACAGAGAAUAUACAGAUGAGCUGUUGGAUACUGUGGAAAAGUGGCCUGAAGACCUAACCUAGCAGCAGGCACAGCAUGGAGAAACGGAGACUUAUCACUGCAGCGGAGGAGUUUGCUGGCAGUUCGACCUGCCGAAUCCU